UGUAACUCUCAUUGUAUAGCUUGGCUAGUAAAAAAAAAAAAAAAAAUCAUUCCAGUCCUUUUAUUGUUAAUCAUGCUUUAUCUGCGAUCGGGGAGGGAGAAACGCCUUAACAGUUAUUUCAUAACUAUAGUGUCAGGAAUACAUGUUUCUAAUGUUCCUUUAUGUUGGGGAACUGUCAGGUUUAAAAGGGUUUCUGAAUCCAGCACAAAAACAGCUGUUACUUGUAUUUUUAUUUAUUUUUCCUGUUACUAUAUGACUUUAUGUUGACUUAUGGUCUAGUGCAGUGCUGCCCAAUAGGUUUGGCAUCAUGAGAGUUGUAGUUCCACUACAUCUCGGGAUCUACUUAUCGCGCAGCCCUGGUAUAGGGAAAUUAAAUGAUGCCAGUAGCUUCCGACCUUCGAUUUUCCUGACUUUAUGAUUUUAUCAUAUGGAAGGUGUUUCUGUUGACAUUAGUGUGGCAUUACAUUUAUGUCUAUAGUACACUCUCUUAAAACUGCUCUCAAAGCACAAUCUCUCCAGUUCAUUGUAAUGGCUAUAACGCAAGUGUCUUGGGGCACCAUUUCCCCAAUAAGUACCACGAGCCAUAUUUUACACGAACUAGGGGAGACUGCACUGAGAGACUCAUUGCCCCAUAACUGUUAAAAUGAGCUGUAUUUGUGAUCAUGCUCAGUAUCCUUUUUUUUUAAAUGCAAGCAUGCACUGUGCCAUGUGCUUACUUCAGAAUGUGAAGUAAUAUCUGCAGGUGGACAUUCUUUCUAUUUAUUUAAUUUAGUUUGAUGAUCACGGCUUAAAAUUGCACGUCUUGCCCUACUAGCCAGCCCUUACUAGUUACUUACCGCUGCAAACCUCAGACAGCCCAUGAAAUACUUGCGAAAAGCUACAUUUCAUUUGCCAAUGGCGCAGGGAAAUUGAGUCUCAGGAAGGGGGAGGACUUUCUCAUUUAUGACAAAUUCUCAUGUAACACUUUUAAAUACAGCAGGGCAUACGGCACGUCUGUCUCUGACAUGCCAAAACCUGUAACUCGCCUUGAUACAUGGCUCGGAUACGUGAUUGAAGAGCAUUCUUUGACAUCGUGAAACUUUUUAUUUUUUGCACUACUUUUCUUGACAUGUCCCAUUUGAAUGGAUGGCUAGCUAUUUAUUAUAAGAACAGCAAACUCCCUCCUUGACCAAGUCACAGACAGUCUUUUGUCCACGAGAAGGACUGCAAAUAUCACUUGUGUUUGCUGUAUCCAGCAGGUUAAAGGUCUUUAUGUAAGCUUUGCUCUUCCCAUGGGAUUUUGUUCAGGAUUUAAAUGACCUACACAUUCUAUAGCUCUGAGAGAAUUCACUGUAGAAAUAACUGGAGAAAAGGGAUUUUCCUUGAAAUGUGUUAAAAUUAGGCAAUCGCUCUAUUAAGAUUUUCAAUUUCCAUAUAACGUUUAGUGUUCAUGAGCUUGACUGGAUUUAGCUAUAUAACUUGAUAAAUUGUUUUAUUGUUGCCCUUUGUUCUUAGUUAAAUGUUUAUAGAGUGACCUUAUCUACAGACUUGUGCAAAAAUGUAUUUGUCGGAAUAAAAUUCUUGUUGAUCAAACCUGAUCGGAACAGACUCCAGAUCGAUCACACCUGUACAGGUGAAACCACUCGGAAUCUGUUUACUCGAUGAUUGCCAGGAAUUUGAUUCAGAAAAAUCGUCUCAAACAAAUUUUUGAACAUGUCUAGUUCUCAAUAAAAGUAGAUUUCUGAAUGAGUGGAGAAGAUUCUGCAGAGAGCGAAGCCAUUUCUCUGCUGACUUUGUUUUUAGCAUCAUGACUACUCUCUGUAAGAUGUCAGGUGUCAUCUCACUAUAUGUUGUACCCAUUUAAUCCCAGCACAAUAACUGCUCGUUGCAUCACAAGCUUCAUUGUGAUUGCAAUGAGGAUCUAAAUUAGUAUAAACAUUAGAAGAAUGGAUGAUGAUAUAUCUCUAACUCUUAUUGUCACAGCUUAGAUAUUUUUACUUAAAGGGUUACUCAUAGCACCAUAACCACUGCAGUCAUAUUAAGGGGGCAUGAUGCCUGGAGUUUGUUAAUGGCGUUAUAUUGUUGUGGAGGUUGAAGGGAUUGCUAUGUUGAAAAACUGAUAGAUGGGAUAUACUGUUAUUAUCCCUAUUUGGGAAAACAGAUAUUUGAAAGUUUCUGUUUAGUCUGUUGCUAUUUUUAUAUAUAUAUAUAU
Molecule: long non-coding RNA, 2191 nt
Filed under: Pelobates cultripes (western spadefoot toad)
Lineage: Eukaryota; Metazoa; Chordata; Amphibia; Anura; Pelobatidae
Source: RNAcentral